Coturnix japonica (Japanese quail) is the source of this 530-nucleotide non-coding RNA. The record is from RefSeq and is a predicted model, not a curated record. NCBI's taxonomy places the organism in Eukaryota, Metazoa, Chordata, Aves, Galliformes, Phasianidae.
UCCAAGGUAUCUAGGACAUCUUAUGACACUGAAGGAGGUAAAAAGUAUUUAUUAUCGGGAAGGUGUAGACUUAGGAACUCUCUGCACAAUCGUCACGGUCUUCUACUCUGAGGAUCUGCAUGAAUAAAUUAUAAAUGUCACAGUUCCGCACAGCUGAAAAGAUUGAAUUAAUUAGCCUGUCACCUGAGAGCUUUCGCCCUUUCUGCAAGGGAAUGAAGUGAUUUGAAAGAGUGCUGGAAAGGGCCCUCGUUCCACUUGACCUUUCCAGAGAUGUGGCAGACAGAUCGAUGGGGAAGUAACUGCAACAAGCUGACACCUUGUAGAUAAGGUAUGCUCCAGGAGUCAAGAGUACCUAAAUAAGUUAUAAAAACAUGGAGAUCUACUGCCUUGUUUUAUGAAGGUCUUGUGUUACGUUGGUUAAUGCUGAGUUAUCUUCCAGUCACUUUGUUGAUUGUUUGUUUGUUUUCCCUGUGUAUUUGAUUGUUUAUGAUUAUCUGUAUCAUCACUAGAAUAAAAUUCUUUGAUCUGAA